GAUGAAGAACGUAGCGAAAUGCGAUAAGUAGUGUGAAUUGCAGAAUUCAGUGAAUCAUCGAAUCUUUGAACGCGCAUUGCGCCCCUUGGUAUUCCAUGGGGCAUGCCUGUUCGAGCGUCAUUUGUACCUUCAAGCUUUGCUUGGUGUUGGGUGUUUGUCUCGCCUCUGCGUGUAGACUCGCCUUAAAACAAUUGGCAGCCGGCGUAUUGAUUUCGGAGCGCAGUACAUCUCGCGCUUUGCACUCAUAACGACGACGUCCAAAAGUACAUUUUUACACUCUUGACCUCGGAUCAGGUAGGGAUACCCGCUGAACUUAAGCAUAUCAAUAAGCGGAGGA
This 337-nucleotide unclassified non-coding RNA is filed under the name soil metagenome. Its description in RNAcentral is "partial contains 5.8S ribosomal RNA, internal transcribed spacer 2, and large subunit ribosomal RNA". The stretch from base 1 to 120 matches the Rfam family "5.8S ribosomal RNA", at positions 35 to 154 of the family's 154-position model. The record is from RNAcentral.